GGGGAUUUAGCUCAGUGGUAGAGCGCUUGCCUAGGGAGCGCAAGGCCCUGGGUUCGGUCCCCAGCUCCA
Molecule: non-coding RNA, 69 nt
Organism: Rattus norvegicus (Norway rat)
Lineage: Eukaryota; Metazoa; Chordata; Mammalia; Rodentia; Muridae
Source: Rfam